Molecule: ribosomal RNA, 497 nt
Filed under: uncultured bacterium
Lineage: Bacteria
Description: partial 16S ribosomal RNA
Rfam family: Bacterial small subunit ribosomal RNA
Source: RNAcentral
GAUGAACGCUGGCGGCGUGCCUAAUACAUGCAAGUCGAGCGAACAGACGAGGAGCUUGCUCCUCUGACGUUAGCGGCGGACGGGUGAGUAACACGUGGAUAACCUACCUAUAAGACUGGGAUAACUUCGGGAAACCGGAGCUAAUACCGGAUAAUAUAUUGAACCGCAUGGUUCAAUAGUGAAAGACGGUUUUGCUGUCACUUAUAGAUGGAUCCGCGCCGCAUUAGCUAGUUGGUAAGGUAACGGCUUACCAAGGCAACGAUGCGUAGCCGACCUGAGAGGGUGAGCGGCCACACUGGAACGGGGGCACGGUCCAGACGCCUACGGGAGGCAGCAGUAGGGAAUCUUCCGCAAUGGGGGAAAGCCUGACGGAGCAACGCCGCGUGAGUGAUGAAGGUCUUCGGAUCGUAAAACUCUGUUAUUAGGGAAGAACAAAUGUGUAAGUAACUAUGCACGUCUUGACGGUACCUAAUCAGAAAGCCACGGCUAACUACGUG